UACGUAGGGGGCUAGCGUUGUCCGGAAUCAUUGGGCGUAAAGCGCGUGUAGGCGGCCUUGUAAGUCCGUUCUGAAAGCCCGGGGCUCAACCCCGGGAGGCGGAUGGAUACUGCAAGGCUCGAGUCCGGAAGAGGCGAGUGGAAUUCCCGGUGUAGCGGUGAAAUGCGCAGAUAUCGGGAGGAACACCAAUGGCGAAGGCAGCUCGCUGGGAGGGUACUGACGCUGAGACGCGAAAGCGUGGGGAGCAAACAG
RNAcentral lists this ribosomal RNA (252 nucleotides) under uncultured bacterium. RNAcentral describes it as "partial 16S ribosomal RNA". It matches the Rfam family "Bacterial small subunit ribosomal RNA", at positions 524 to 775 of the family's 1533-position model. The record is from RNAcentral.